CCUACGGGAGGCAGCAGUGGGGGAUAUUGCACAAUGGGGGGAACCCUGAUGCAGCGACGCCGCGUGGGUGAAGAAGCGCCUCGGCGCGUAAAGCCCUGUCAGCAGGGAAGAAAAUGACGGUACCUGAAGAAGAAGCCCCGGCUAACUACGUGCCAGCAGCCGCGGUAAUACGUAGGGGGCAAGCGUUAUCCGGAUUUACUGGGUGUAAAGGGGGCGCAGACGGCGAUGCAAGCCAGGAGUGAAAGCCCGGGGCCCAACCCCGGGACUGCUCUUGGAACUGCGUGGCUGGAGUGCAGGAGGGGCAGGGGGAAUUCCUGGUGUAGCGGUGAAAUGCGUAGAUAUCAGGAGGAACACCGGCGGCGAAGGCGGCCUGCUGGACCGCGACUGACGUUGAGGCUCGAAAGCGUGGGGAGCGAACAGGAUUAGAUACCCUGGUAGUC
RNAcentral lists this ribosomal RNA (440 nucleotides) under uncultured bacterium. Its description in RNAcentral is "partial 16S ribosomal RNA". It matches the Rfam family "Bacterial small subunit ribosomal RNA", at positions 338 to 795 of the family's 1533-position model. The record is from RNAcentral.